UGGUAAUUGCAAUUGGGUUUGAUUCAC
Molecule: non-coding RNA, 27 nt
Filed under: Mus musculus (house mouse)
Lineage: Eukaryota; Metazoa; Chordata; Mammalia; Rodentia; Muridae
Source: RNAcentral